GACCAAUCCGGUGGCCUAGUGGUUAGAGCGUCCGCUUCGAAUGCGGUAGGUUGCGGGUUCGAACACUGGCCGAGUCA
Molecule: non-coding RNA, 77 nt
Organism: Potamilus streckersoni
Lineage: Eukaryota; Metazoa; Mollusca; Bivalvia; Unionida; Unionidae
Source: the annotation of a GenBank genome assembly